Molecule: long non-coding RNA, 616 nt
Organism: Erigeron canadensis
Lineage: Eukaryota; Viridiplantae; Streptophyta; Magnoliopsida; Asterales; Asteraceae
Exons: 3
Source: RefSeq, a predicted model, not a curated record
UUUAAGUUUAGGCCGAAAAGAUAGAGCCGCUAUUUGGACCACUAUAGCAUCAAUAUCGGUAUAAUAAUGCCGAUAAUUGCUGGCCUGCUAUUUUGACUGAGGUCCGCUGACCGUGGGACAGCAGUGAGACAACGGUGGAAAUUAUCCUUCAAUGGCGAGCUACUUCCUGAAGAUGUAUCAUCAUCCAUUUCCAUCAUACUGUUAUGUUGAUUUCCAUGGUCAAACCGAAGUUCUAUCGGUAAAAGUCCUUCAGUAGUAAAUCUUCUGCUCUCAACUUCUUUUGGAUCAAAAUGCUUGUUAUCUCCUUGUUUGGUACUGCCACAAGAAUCUUGUCUGAGUCCACUGCCGCGAUCCUGUAUGACACCACUUGACAAAUCUUGUUUUCCCUGUGCCUGCCCUUCAUCAUUGGAGGGAUACUUGUGUUCUGCAAAAAGAAGAAAAAGACUGCUAAAGGAUUUCAUGGAAAGGUAGCAGCUUUGAUCCAGAGAUAUAUAAACGGGUUAAUUUGUGUUGUGGUGAUCUCAAACAAGUCAAUUUUAACAAAUAAAAAAUUUGCUAAAAGAGAACAGGUCGAAGUCACCCAAAGUGUAAUUUUAAUGCAUUAAACUCCUCAUCA